GUCGGGAUAGCUCAAUUGGUAGAGCAGAGGACUGAAAAUCCUCGUG
RNAcentral lists this transfer RNA (46 nucleotides) under Hedychium sp. RHT65121. Its description in RNAcentral is "partial tRNA-Phe". It matches the Rfam family "tRNA", at positions 1 to 45 of the family's 71-position model. From Rfam's summary of the family: Transfer RNA (tRNA) molecules are approximately 80 nucleotides in length. Their secondary structure includes four short double-helical elements and three loops (D, anti-codon, and T loops). Lineage: Eukaryota; Viridiplantae; Streptophyta; Magnoliopsida; Zingiberales; Zingiberaceae. The record is from RNAcentral.